RNAcentral lists this long non-coding RNA (1481 nucleotides) under Brassica napus (rape). RNAcentral's name for it is "long non-coding RNA (BNAP_LNC024585)". Lineage: Eukaryota; Viridiplantae; Streptophyta; Magnoliopsida; Brassicales; Brassicaceae. The record is from RNAcentral.
AAAUCAAAUUAUUUUCUAUAAUUACAUUUCUGUUCAAACAAUGUAUCAUAUAUCGAUACAAUAAAUUACGUUGUUGUAUUUCUUAUAUACAUGCAAACGCGCGAAAAAAUAGUGCAUUGUCUCUUUGUGUCACAGAUUGACACAGUUCCCGAGAUAUAGCUAUUUUGUUAAUUUAUUUUGUAUAAUGGCUAUAACACAAAUUAACCCAAUUGAAAUUGUCGACAUCUUCUCGGCAUCACUAGACGGAAGCGUCGGCUUCGAAGGCUCUCCUGCACCUCUCCUUUUUAGUUCUUUCUUCUUUCUUUAUCUCAACUUUUGAUAUGUUGAAGAUCUGUAGGGUGUUGUUUCGGUGAUGGCUCCACUCGAGAAGAAUCUAGAUUCACCGGUUUUCUAUGCUCUUUGGCGUCGAUGUGAGAUUGGUUAGACAGUGGCAGCAGUAGAGGUCGGUGUUUUAGGGUUGUCGAGUGGAUCUCUUUUUUUCGUUAGGUUUUGUGCCACUUUCAGAUUCAAUGCGUGUGGGGAAGGAGUGAAGGCUCUUCUCACAGAUCCAUGUUGCUUUUAGUCGGUUAUGCAAAUCCGGUUGGUUUGUUGUUAAGAUAGGUAUCAAUUGCUGGGUUUUUGUCAUGUCUUUGGUGUCUCGGUUUGACGGACUCAUCAAACUGAUGACGGGUGAACGUUGGAGGAUUCCUAUACCUUAGCGAUGCGUUCUUGGAGUGUCUUACCAGCAUGUGUUAGUGCCUCUGACGACAGUGAAUAUUGAAAUGAAGAGUGGUUUUACGUUGUGAUCAUCUACGGCCAAUUCGUGCAUGUGGUCUUUCUCAUCUUCGAUCUCCUUACUCGGCCUCAUAUCCAAAUCUCAGCUUGAGCUAAUGACGACUAUAUCUGCUGCUGGUGAGCUACUCGUUUUAUUGAGGUUUAUUAAUUUAUAAUAGUUGUUGGAGCUAAUUUUGGUGCGACGAAGUUACUCCAUCCUUUGGUUAUCAAAGGUGGCAAAUGGCGAAGAAAUUGGUGGCUUCAGGUGACCUUAUAGGCCUCAGCUUUCCUUUGGUGACUCCAUUUGGCCGAAGCAACAUAUCUCAGCGUCAUUGGUUAAUGAUUGUUUUUGGUGGUAUUGCUUAUUUAUCUCCUUUGUGCAAGUCAUUAUGGGUUUUCUGAAGGUUAUGCAUGUCUUUUCUCAACCCGGUUGUAUUAAUAAAUUCAAAGCUUCAAUGUGGCAGUGGUAUCACCUGUAAGGAGAAAUCAGAAUUUUAGUACUCCUGUCCCGAUUAAUCAAGACCGGCCAAUGACCAUGAUAUUGGAUCUGGAGUUAUAACAACCAAGUAGUCUAUGUAUCAUUCGUUAUUGUUGGAUCUGGAGUUGCGAAGUGAUUUAUGUGUAUGUUCUUCGGAAUUGUAGCAAGUCUUAGAUUGUACGAAUUUUAUUUGAAUCACCAUUAUAUUUUGAUGUUAUUGUCUUUUUGGAGAUAAACAAUGAAAUCACAG